GAUUGGCUACCUCCUCAUAACCAUAAGAUAAUUAAAACUUGGCGGGGGGGGGGGGCAGGGUUAAAAAAACUUUUUUUAUCAGUCAGAGGAUAAUGCAAGUGUUUAACAGAUGCUUCACUAUUAAAAUAUUUUCCCCCCAAGUCUCAAAUAUUGAAGAAUCUCUAACCAGGGACACCAGUCCCUACGAAGACCUUGGGCGAUUUUGAAGUGCGGGCACCUCGAUUCCCCGAAUCUGUAGUGUGGCUGGUAUCGGUGUUCCCCUGGUUUAACUAGCCUGUUUGGCACAACAAAUGAGACCCAAGUGCUCAUAGAACAUUCCAAAGAGUCAACAGAGAGAAGUGGAAAGUAUUAGAAACAUGAUUGUGUUUGCAAAGGGAGACAUAAACAUGGGGAAAUUGAGGCAGAGAAGCCAAGACAUGUGCUAAAGGUCAUGCAGGCUAUGAAUGGAGCUGGAAUGUGAACGCAGGCCAUAUGACCCCAGAGCCCAUGUUCUUGAACCCUUAGAAAGACAGCAGCAACACACCUGGUGCAGCAGCUGCUUAGUUGGAGUGGCUGACAAGAGAUCCUGGCAAAUGGGUGUUUCUUCCCAGAAAGGGAUUUUUCUCCAUGACUGCAGUUGAAUUGCAGAGUUGUAGAGACAUCCAGGUUCUUGUUAGUGUGGACGAACUAUCCAUGAAGAUCUUAAAUGCAGGAGUCUAUGAGAACACCAAUUAAUCAAUUGUCAAAUAUUUGAGUAUCUAUUG
This 743-nucleotide long non-coding RNA is filed under the name Homo sapiens (human). RNAcentral's name for it is "non-protein coding HAND2-AS1:122". The record is from RNAcentral. Lineage: Eukaryota; Metazoa; Chordata; Mammalia; Primates; Hominidae.